Notechis scutatus (mainland tiger snake) is the source of this 369-nucleotide non-coding RNA. The record is from RefSeq and is a predicted model, not a curated record. NCBI's taxonomy places the organism in Eukaryota, Metazoa, Chordata, Lepidosauria, Squamata, Elapidae.
AUUUUGUUCCAGUGUUUAAAUCUUGUGAUUUAUUGCUUUUGUUAAAAUAGAGCAGCCCAACACCAUAGUUCUAAUCUUUAAGAGUUCUAAUUCUUCUCUACAAUUAAACACAGAAGACUCUUAAAGCAUUUGCUAAUACAGUCAUAAUCUAAGCAGUAGUGUUAAUAACCCUAUUUUAUUUUGCUGUGGAGGUGGCAACACAAGCAGAAUGGGAAUACUUCCAGAAAGCUAGGAGCUGCCUAAAUGCACUUUAAAAUGAUAACACUUUAUCAUUUAGGAAAAAGGGAAGUAAAAGUUAAUUAAUUACCAGUAUAAUUCAAUUCUUAAGGAAGCAUAAGAUUUUAAUGCCAAUGCACCAAAUAGGGAUUU